UCCUGCGACCCCGGAAGAGAUUGCGGGGUGCCUUGGGGAGCGCAGAGACAGGUGCUGCAUGGCUGUCGUCAGCUCGUGUUGUGAAAUGUUGGGUUAAGUCCCGUAACGAGCGCAACCCUUGUCCCUAUUUGCCAGCGAUUCGGUCGGGAACUUUAGGGAGACUGCCGGUGACAAACCGGAGGAAGGUGGGGACGACGUCAAGUCAUCAUGGCCCUUACGGGUAGGGCUACACACGUGCUACAAUGGCCGGUACAAAGGGUUGCGAAGCCGCGAGGUGAAGCCAAUCCCAGAAAGCCGGCCUCAGUCCGGAUUGGAGUGUGCAACUCGACUCCAUGAAGUCGGAAUCGCUAGUAAUCGUGCAUCAGAAUGGCACGGUGAAUACGUUCCCGGGCCUUGUACACACCGCCCGUCACACCAUGGGAGUGGACUGCACCAGAAGUGGUUAGCCUAACUCCGGAGGGCGAUCAU
RNAcentral lists this ribosomal RNA (468 nucleotides) under Chromohalobacter sp. RNAcentral's name for it is "bacterial SSU rRNA". It matches the Rfam family "Bacterial small subunit ribosomal RNA", at positions 987 to 1457 of the family's 1533-position model. Lineage: Bacteria; Pseudomonadati; Pseudomonadota; Gammaproteobacteria; Oceanospirillales; Halomonadaceae. The record is from RNAcentral.